ACUGAGCGGCGGACGGGUGAGUAACGCGUGGGUAACCUGCCUUACACAGGGGGAUAACAGUUAGAAAUGACUGCUAAUACCGCAUAAGACCCCGGUACCGCAUGGUACAGAGGUAAAAACUGAGGUGGUGUAAGAUGGACCCGCGUCUGAUUAGGUAGUUGGUGAGGUAACGGCCCACCAAGCCGACGAUCAGUAGCCGGCCUGAGAGGGUGGACGGCCACAUUGGGACUGAGACACGGCCCAGACUCCUACGGGAGGCAGCAG
This 264-nucleotide ribosomal RNA is filed under the name uncultured bacterium. RNAcentral's name for it is "partial 16S ribosomal RNA". It matches the Rfam family "Bacterial small subunit ribosomal RNA", at positions 90 to 354 of the family's 1533-position model. The record is from RNAcentral.